Molecule: transfer RNA, 71 nt
Filed under: Harvfovirus sp.
Lineage: Varidnaviria; Bamfordvirae; Nucleocytoviricota; Megaviricetes; Imitervirales; Mimiviridae
Description: tRNA-Met
Source: RNAcentral
UUCCUUUUGCUUGAAUUUAACAAGCGUCUUCACCUUAUGAGGGUAACGAUCUAACAUUGAUCUAAAAAGGA